ACCGGCAGAGGGUGGAACAACACACAACGCCUUCGCCUUUUACUAGGGCGUUCCGUGUUCCACUUUCACUUGCCAUGCCGAUUAGCAAUUUUUCAGACAUCAGGUUUCUCCUGAAAU
RNAcentral lists this small nuclear RNA (117 nucleotides) under Neolentinus lepideus HHB14362 ss-1. Its description in RNAcentral is "U5 spliceosomal RNA". It matches the Rfam family "U5 spliceosomal RNA". From Rfam's summary of the family: U5 RNA is a component of both types of known spliceosome. The precise function of this molecule is unknown, though it is known that the 5' loop is required for splice site selection and p220 binding, and that both the 3' stem-loop and the Sm site are important for Sm protein binding and cap methylation. The record is from Rfam by way of RNAcentral. Lineage: Eukaryota; Fungi; Basidiomycota; Agaricomycetes; Gloeophyllales; Gloeophyllaceae.